Molecule: ribosomal RNA, 440 nt
Filed under: uncultured bacterium
Lineage: Bacteria
Description: partial 16S ribosomal RNA
Rfam family: Bacterial small subunit ribosomal RNA
Source: RNAcentral
CCUACGGGAGGCAGCAGUGGGGGAUAUUGCACACUGGGGGAAACCCUGAUGCAGCGACGCCGCGUGUGUGAAGACGGUCCUCUGGAUUGUAAACCACUGUCCCCAGGGACGAAGAUGACGGUACCUGGGGAGGAAGCCCCGGCUAACUACGUGCCAGCAGCCGCGGUAUUACGGAGGGAGAGAGCGUUGCCCGGAAUUACUGGGUGAAAAGGGAGCGUAGGCGGGGAUGCAAGUUGGGUGUCAAAACUACGGGCUCAACUGGUAGUCGCACUCAAAACUGCAGCUCUUGAGUGAAGUAGAGGCAGGCGGAAUUCCUAGUGUAGCGGUGAAAUGCGUAGAUAUUAGGAGGAACACCGGUGGCGAAGGCGGCCUGCUGGGCUUUUACUGACGCUGAGGCUCGAAAGUGUGGGGAGCAAACAGGAUUAGAUACCCGUGUAGUC